This 36-nucleotide ribosomal RNA is filed under the name Rhodobryum roseum. Its description in RNAcentral is "partial 26S ribosomal RNA". The record is from RNAcentral. Lineage: Eukaryota; Viridiplantae; Streptophyta; Bryopsida; Bryales; Bryaceae.
GACCUCUAAUCGAAAAAGACUACCCGCCGAGUUUAA